Non-coding RNA from Acanthosepion pharaonis, 112 nucleotides. Lineage: Eukaryota; Metazoa; Mollusca; Cephalopoda; Sepiida; Sepiidae. The record is from the annotation of a GenBank genome assembly.
UAUGGCCAUAUCAUGUUGAAAUGCCAGUUCUCAUACAAUCACCAAAGUUAAGCAAUGUUGAGCCUGUUCAGUACCUAGAUAGGUGAUUACUUCAGAAUACCAGAUGCUGUAA